UUCAGCAGCCAUAUCACUCUGCAACUCACAACUAGGAACCCACUGAAGCUAAACAGCCUGGUCAGUACCUGGAUGGGAGACCUCCUGGGAAAACCUAAGGUUACUGCUGGAA
RNAcentral lists this ribosomal RNA (112 nucleotides) under Lepisosteus oculatus (spotted gar). Lineage: Eukaryota; Metazoa; Chordata; Actinopteri; Semionotiformes; Lepisosteidae. The record is from RNAcentral.